Molecule: long non-coding RNA, 457 nt
Filed under: Ananas comosus (pineapple)
Lineage: Eukaryota; Viridiplantae; Streptophyta; Magnoliopsida; Poales; Bromeliaceae
Description: long non-coding RNA (ACOM_LNC028854)
Source: RNAcentral
CACUUUUUUUCCCUACGAUGCUCGCAGCCUAUAAUAUAUACCAUUUUUGUUCCGUUAUCUUAAUCUUUUUUUUUUUCCCCAACAUUACUCACAGCCUACAACAACCACCGUUUCCUUUUGUUUAAAAAAAAAAUCCAAUGUGAGUUAAGAGCAAAGUAGAGCUUACUUGCAGGGUGCAGUAACAAACAUUUUUGUUUCAUCGACCCUAUUUUUUUUCCAAUAUUUACUCAAAGUCUGCAGUAACUGACUUUUUUUUUUAUAAAAGAAAUACAAUAUGAGUUCUACCGUGUCUAUGCGAGUAAACAUUGACGAAAAAAAUUAGCAUGGGUCAGUUCUUUUUCACCACCGACCGCCAUUUUCGUUUCACCAUCUCUUUUUUUUUUCUCCCCAACAUUACUCGCAGGCUGCAAUCACUACAAUUUUCAAAAAAUGAGUUCUGUUUCAUCAUCUCAUUUUU